This 148-nucleotide small RNA is filed under the name Desulfosporosinus meridiei. RNAcentral describes it as "c-di-AMP sequence". It matches the Rfam family "c-di-AMP riboswitch aptamer (ydaO/yuaA leader)". From Rfam's summary of the family: This family represents a conserved RNA structure found upstream of the ydaO and yuaA genes in Bacillus subtilis and related genes in other bacteria. Lineage: Bacteria; Bacillati; Bacillota; Clostridia; Eubacteriales; Desulfitobacteriaceae. The record is from RNAcentral.
AUAUCUCUGUCGCUUAAUUCUAUCAUGAAGCGGGGAAACCAUUUUUGGGGUGAAUCCUUCACAUCAUUUGACUCUGAGUUUGUGAAGGUAGGGUUACUUUUCAACCCGAAUCCGUCAGCUAACUUCGUAAGCGUUGAAAGGAGAUACU